UCCCUGAGAGUCCUGAAGGAACGUUGAAGACGACGACGUUGAUAGGUCGGGUGUGUAAGUGUAGCGAUACAUUGAGCUAACCGAUACUAAUGAACCGUGAGGCUUAACCUUACAACGCCGAAGC
RNAcentral lists this ribosomal RNA (124 nucleotides) under Kluyvera ascorbata. Its description in RNAcentral is "partial 23S ribosomal RNA". The stretch from base 1 to 111 matches the Rfam family "Bacterial large subunit ribosomal RNA", at positions 2812 to 2925 of the family's 2925-position model. Lineage: Bacteria; Pseudomonadati; Pseudomonadota; Gammaproteobacteria; Enterobacterales; Enterobacteriaceae. The record is from RNAcentral.